GCAAGUCAGAUUUGAUAUCCUGAGUUAAUGGACAGUAAGUAAGGUUUGAGACCCAUAGUGGCAUGCCAAUAGGUGAACUAAAGAUUGGAUUGAGGUCCAGUAAAGCAAGUCCUGUCGGUACUAGUUUCAUUAUCUGGGUUGAGUUAAAGCAUUGUUAGGCGCAUAGGGUUAAGAAAUGAGAAGUAUGACUUAUUUGUUUCAUCCUUUCCAGUAGUAGAUCGAUUCUAUUCCCCUGUAUACGCUAUAGCAUCUCGGACCUAUUACAUCGGCUAAAGAGUAAGAGGAAGCAGUGCCGGAGUGAGAAAAGGGUAGUUCAGAUCCGAGGUAAGUAAAGUAAGGUGCUAAGAGCGAGUAUUACAAGAAUUCAAACCUUUAGCUCUAGUCUUUAAAGUGGUGGUUUGGAUUCCGAAACACACUGCCGCUACACUCUUCCCCAUUAACUUAUAUUGUAUAUUAACUUCUAUUGGAUUAAAGUAAGCAUCUAAGUUAGCAAGUAAGACUUCAAGAAAGGAGUAUAAGUUUCAAAGUCUGAGUUGAUAGUAAUCGUAUUAAUAGUUAGAAUAUUCUAAGAAGUGCAAUUCUGAGUAACAACCCUAGUAAGCCAGCCUUACUGCCUACCCUCUAAUGGGCAAAGCCUUUAUCUCAUUUCCACCAACAGGACUGAAGCUUACUCAAAAGCAAGAACACUUGAAGGCUGGAGUGGAAGCAGCUUAGGGAGUUAUAAGAAAACAGCUCCAACAUAGGAAUUGAGUGAGUCAGAUCCUAUUCUCAGACUUACCAGUGGAAUUCCAACUUCCUACCUCGCUGCCCAAUCUCAUACUACUUAGCCGGGCUGCUCCUACAACUUAGCUGCCUUAGCUGGGCUUCUCUCUGAAACUCCUGACUUUAGGCUCUUAGCACCUUGUUUUCAUUCUCUAUUUUCUGGUUUGGAUUCUCUCUUUUCAUCAUGAAAUAGAGAAAUAAGAAUGAGCUCGUGGAUGGAUUGGUUCUACCUUUCAGAAUGCGUUCGUGGUCGUGAUGCGCGAACCUUGAAGAACGAGUGAAUGAACGCUCACAGAAUAGGUGAAGCUACUUUCGAGUCCUGGAACGAACAAAGAAAAGACUGACCACCGAUAAAAGGAUUCAUUAUAUAUCUUAGGUCCGCUCACUGAAUGAUUGGGCAAAUAGUAGCUCUAUGUUGGGUAUGUUUCAUAUGAAUUAGUUAACGAUGGUCCUACUAUGAAUAAGAGAUGAUCCACUACGAACGAGGACCGAUCAAAUAAUCUGUUAUGUUAUUAAAAGAAUGGAUGUUACGUUAAGGAAUGAGCGACAUAAUACAGAGAAUAGGAGACAGGGUAGUAGGAAGUAGUUACAGCCCGAGAAGCGCUAGUCCAAUUCAGGUAUUAAUGGGAAAAGUGCUCAUUUCACUCCUGCUAGGCGUUGUUCUCAUCCCUAUCAGUAGUAGUUGGGAUCUAAUAGUACUUACUUGAAUUCAUGGUUUUGAGUUCGAUUCGUUAUUGUAAGAUAAAGUAAUAUAAUGAAUGGGGUGUCGAGUUCAAUUAACUAAUAAGUAAGGUUUGGCGGCUAUACGUUACUUGGCUGCUCUUAUACUGGUUAAUUGCAUUCCCUUUACUACACCUAGAUCUGAAACAACACCUCUCUCGUUCUAACUACUGGGCUGGGCGGGCUACCAUUCUUUCAUUAAUGAUCCGGAUCUUCACUUGCUCGACUUGAACUUAUGCUAAUACUAAGUGAUUUUGUAUUCUGAUUAUUUAGUAUAGGUUGUACUACUAUAGUCAAUAAAACACUUUUAGCAGGUAGUAGCGGACUAACAAUCAGACAUAGGAUCCGUACACCGAGUUCAAUCUACUAGGGUAGUAGUCAAUUCCGAGUUUUGAGUCUUAUUCUGAGUUAUGAGUGCAAAGCCUUAUCGGUAUUGGUUCCACUCUUGCUCUAGCACAAGUUUCCGUCUGAGAAGCAGUAGUGACCGUCUGUAUUUCCAACUUCAAUGUCCCGUUAUCCUGACUUCUUUCUUAGUUGCUUGGCGCUGACUUGGUGGUUUCAUUGGCAUCCUACCCUGACUUGAUGGUUUGACCAAUACUACUUACUGAGUGGAAUUGUGACUUUAUGGUUUCAUUAUGACUUGAGAGUUGCUGCCUUAUAGUGAGUAGCUCCAAUCUUAUAGUUAGUAGCUGGGUGCGCUGCUGGAUCGUAACCAUAUUAUCUAUUUAGACUUGUUUGCACACCUCUUCUUAUAAGUCGUCUGAUGAUGCCCUAGAGCAGAUUCCCUAUUAGACUUACCUCGCCAACGAGCAAUUUGACUCAUUGAUAUCAGAACUCCACCCGGCAUUAAAAGGCAGAAUCACUACCCAGCAGUCCAAGCCUCAUUGAUCGUAUAGAGGAAAAAGCCCUACUAAUUAGCUCCCAAGCUAUUAUAUCAGAGAAUUACCUAUUGAAAUACUAUGUUAUAUUAUAUAAGAGAAUGCUUUAACAGGCAGUAGAGCACGUAUAGGGCCGACACCAACUAACAAGCGUAGCUAACGAGCAGAAGCCUACAGCGCAGAAGCAAUAAUGCAAGUAAGUAUCCAAAUCGGUAUUCAGAGAAUUCGUUCUGAUAAUCAACUCCCUACCGCUCCACUCUUUCGAUUCAUUAGCAAAAUAAGGUCAAAAGCAUAGAGUGUUUUAUCACUUUUGGAUUAGUGUUUCUGCUUUUUUGUAUCAAUUUCGUGGGCUCUUAGCACCUUGAUUUGAGGCUGUUUGUAUGGGUGAGAUAGCCUAUGUCCGGUGAGAUAGCCUAUGCCCAGGGUACUACCUUCUUUCUAUGAUGCCCGGGGACGGAGUUUAUGACCGUGAUGCGCGAACGAACGAACAAUUCACGAGGUAUACCCGAAUGUGCGAUGACCAAUAGAACCACACCAUCCACUGACUUACUUAUGUUUUACUUGAAGACUAUGUAGUGCUCCUUAAAGAAUGAGUCCCCGGCGAAGGAUCUAUAUGUUUUUGUGUCUCGCGUAGAGGCUCCGGUGUGUUUGCCCGGCUUCAGUCUUAUCCCCCUUGAUCAGUAUUCUUCUAGUUAAGUUCGUUGCUACCUAUGUGCUAUUGACAUUGCUACCUAUGUGCUAUAUUGUAUUGAUACUAACUAUGUUACUAUGUAUUGAUUACUCUGUAUUGAUACUAACUAUGUGUUUCAACAGCUAUUCCUCACUACUAACUAUGUGUUUCAACAGCUAUUCAUCACUUUCGGGCUUAAGCUCUUGUUCUAUUCUUUGACUCUUCGAUCUCAAGCUGACUCCGCUUGCUGUCAAGUAAAAUACUAUUCUAGACCCCCGAUACUAAAGAGCCUAUUUCUUAUGAUGGGUAGCUCAUUCCCCGAUGCGCCAGCUUAGACUUCCCUUACUUCCUUUUAUACUUACUUGCCCGGCUGUAACUCUUAAGACUCGCACAGAAGAAUCCGUAUAUAUCUAUGGGAUAUCAAACGAGAAACCUGAAAAGGGAAUUGUGAACCAUUGCUUACCAGGCUCUAACUAAGAAAUAGGAAAUCCACUGCUGCUAACAAGGCUGCUGCGCCUAACUAUUAUUCUAAUUAACCCGCCGAUAAGUCUGCCAACACUCCAAAACCCUCACUUGAAUCUUACUGUACAUCCUUGCUUCUUUGGGUGAAACUUAUACCGCUACUAAGAAUAGUUGAACUAGUGCACAAACACCACAGUGAGAAUCAAAACAAGUAAUAAGGGUUGUAGCUGUUAUUACUGCUUCUGUCGAAUCGGGACGGAACUAGUGACAACAAAACGGAUAUCUCACAUUGAACUUACUUACGGAAAAGAAUUACUACCUACACGAUAAGACUUGCUCCACCGUCUUUGAUUCUAGGACUACUGAUUCGGAUACUUGCUUCUAUACCGGAGUCUGCCCAGGGCCCUUACUACAAUGUCUUUGAUUAUUAUUGGUACUUUGACCUUCCACUAAUGCCAAGUUAGCCUGCUCCUACUGACACCGAACCUUGCUUUACUAUAACAUAGCCUCUAUCUCCUUGCUACCAGCCUACCUCUCUUUGCUUCCAAACUCCAACUAAUGUAACUAAGCCAUACUGACUUGCCUAUAAGCCUGACUUUCCUAGGGCACACCCUCUACUUGUAACUAAGAGCCUAGCUUUCCACAAGUAUCAUUCAGCGGCGGGGGUUAGAAAGAAAGUUCUGUUCGAGUGUUUGUUGCGGUAAGAGAAGAAGCGGGCCGGGCCCACAGGACGGUUGUAUGCUCUAGCUCCAGAAAGUAUUAACAGAUAGAAUAGAGUAAGAUGACUCCUCUCCGUAAGCAUAAGUAAAAGAAUACAGAAUUCAUUGAAUCAGCUCGCUAACAACUAGACGCAUGAACAAGUGGUAGAUUCCCAGAAGCCCUUUAUCGAGUGGAGUGAGAAGUUGAAGACUUAUAUGAUUCUCAACAAGCAGCAGGAACAAGCAACGGUGAGCUAACGAGAGACGGGAAAGGAGUUGUGGAAAAUAGGAUGGAAUAUACAAGGCGCUAAAGUGAUAUUUCCAUUGAUGAGUUGCGAGAGAAGAUCAGAUGAGUUGCGAGAGAAGAUCAAUUGGGUGGGUAGCCUCAAACUUGACUUCUGCAAACUUAGUUCUUUGUUGAAAGUUUCGUUCGAGCAAAGGUCUCUGUCUGUUAAGGAAGUUAGUUGCGCUAAGGAGUUUGCUAGAGUUCCAUAAGCUGUUUUGCACGCUAAUACAGACGGGAUCGGGUGCUCAUCUUAGUUCUUAAAGAGUAAAGGUUACUCAUUUCUAUUGUAGGUGCACUUAGAUAUGAUUUAGAGGAGAAGCAGUUAGGAGUAUUAGCUCUUUUUGUAGUUGCAAGAGAGAUCAAUUCAUUCUGUACUUGUUACUAACGGAAAGAUGGUUUCCAUUCCUGCGAGUGACGGUUACGCUAACGAGGGAGUUUACGCAACAAGUCCGGAUUCUCUUUCUGCAUAAUAAGGAUCAUAACAAGAAACAGGAGAAAGUCAGUCAGCAGUGCCAAAGUAAGAUGAAGCAGAAUCCGUUUCAUAAGCUUGAUCUAAAGAAUCCGCUGGAGCAGGAAAGUCUCUAGGUGUUGUCGACGAAGGCAGGAAGGAAAUCUAGGGGUGUAGUUCCGGAAGUCGCCAAUAGAGAAAGAAGUGCCUUAACAACUAACUAGCAUCCUCCUCUGGGCAUCUAUUAAGAGCGUAUUCGUAGCUAACAACCUAUUCCACUAUAUGCAACAUAUUAUGUAACAAUAACAGCGCUAAUAUAGUCAAAUGGGCAUCUUCGAUUUCCUGGUAUUCCUAGUAUUCCUAACAAAGGGGCUACACGGCCAGAAAUCAAUCCUUAAAACAACCCGAGGCAAUUUGGAUUGUGAAAGCGGAGUUUCGCCCUGAGCAAUGAAGAUAGGGAACUUGCCCAUUACAAUAGCAUGAAACCAAAAGCAUACGCUUUGUUCUGACGAAGACUAACCGGGAAGUAUGGUUUGCAAGGAGGUAUACUGGCAGAGCAGGAAGAUAGGCGUCGUGGGAAGCGGCUAUAACUUCUCCUCCUUCGUUGCAGGUAAGGCUAUUGAUAAGGCUAGUAGAAUACCUUAUUGAAGCGGAUAAAGCUCAAUGAAGAUUAGAAACUCAUGGUAGCUCAGGAGUCAGAAAAGGUAUUAACGAAGCGUGCUUUAGGAAGUGUUCGAAAGACGACCUAAACCACAAGAUGACGAUGAGAACAAGGUUGGAUCUCUACUUAUGGAAUAGAGGAUUACGAAACCAGUCCUUAAGCAAGUCCCAAGAACGAGGUGCCUAGCAAGAUAGCCCAGAAAGGCCUACAACCAGAGCCAAGUAGACGGAUCUCGUAGCAGGGACCAAUCAAACUAAGGGGAACCAAUCAGUCCCAGUCCAAGCAGAGCUCGGUGAUUAGACUAUGGGAUUGCUCCUUAUACGGUCUAGCGAGUUAGACUCGUGCUGAAGCAUAAAGAAUAAAGCGGAGUUCACUAGACCCCGGUCGUAGGCCGGACGUAGCCAUUCGCUCUAAUAGGAUCGUUUUUGCAGACGGCUUUCUCAAUCGUGCCCCGAAGCGGCAGUGAAGAGUGCAUCCUUUUCUUCAUACGUGGGUACGAUUCCGUACGCUAUCAGUCCAGUACCAUUAGCUCUCCAAGGGUAGCAAUCCAUUCUUUCCAUGGAAGGAAAGGAGGCAAAACAGUACGUAUGCGUGUUAGACUAUUCCCAUUCCCGUCUAUGGUAUUCCCAUGCCCUUCUAUGGUAUUGGUAUUAUUCUAUGGUAUUGGUAUUGAAGAAAUGAUAUUAUUCUAUAAAUACAGAAAUGAUAUUAUUCUAUAAAUACAGAAAUGAUCUUAUUCUAUACGAGGGCUUCUUCAGGGGUAAUCAAUCUUUUGACUUACUUAUAUAUGUAUAUAGAAUCUUUUGACUUACUUAUAUAUGUAUAUAUAAGUGUGCCAAAGGGUGAAACGGGUACAACUCCUCUAUGCAAAGGGUCAAACUCUUCUAUGUCUGGUUCUUUCCUUUUUCUGUCAAAAUAUAUCCCUUGUAGCUCUUAAUGCCAUUAAGAUUUCUGUACCUGUUGGAGAUUGCAGAUGUAAUGCUUGGGUGACGUCUUUCUCUAAAGUCAAAGGAGCGAUAAGACUGUUUCCUCUCUGGCGGCUAUAGGAGAAGGUGCUGAAAGCCUGUCUAAAGCAUGUAUCUGGUAGGUACUCAUUAAGUGAGGGAGAAGGUGCGUAGCCGCUGUUAUGUUAGGAAAAAGACGCUAGUGAACUCGUUUUUUUAAGAGGUAUUUGGAUUUUGGACAUUUCUUUCUUGAUGCGAAUCAUAGGACCCCGUACGUAAUAGAAUCAAAAGAUCUUGCUUGUGACCCUAAAGCGAAAGGUCAAAAGAGUGUGAGGGGCGAAAAUCCAUUCAAGUCAAUACAGUAACUGGUUUCAAAUAGGCCUUGAACUACAUAGGGUCUUGAUACUCGCUUUCUUGAAAAGAGGGAUUAGAGUGUUUUAGGCAUCAGCCGUUCAGAAGUCGCGGUUUGUUCGAUUGCAACGGGUCAAAGAACGAGUCAAAGAAUCAAUUUGUAGUGUAUACUGGCAAUAUCUCCCUUGUAACUUAAGGGGAGCCGCUCCAAGCCGAGAUAGCUAAUCAAGAAAUUGCCCACGCUCAUCAAAUUCUUCCAGGGACAGGGAUAUAGUUUUGACCUUCGGGGAAGAACUCUGUGGGACCCGACCCCUCCUUCUAGGGCGCCUAGAUAGUGAAAGGUUUGCAACGCAGGAAACGGCGCAAAGUCAACGAAGAGCUGGCUGACUACGCUGGAGCCCAGGAAAGAUGUCAACAUGGGAGUUGGUUAAUAAAGAUAGACCGUAAGCAGGUUUGGUCUCGGUUGUUCCGGUUCCAGUUAUAAGACUUGAGUUCCUCCUUUUCUCUUGUCAUUUGGAUUCCUUGGUUUUCUUACUCGUGCCAUACUUCCUAUUCCAAGUGGCUUGCUUUUGUAGCUAUAAGGCGGUGGGGAAUUGAGAUUUUCUGGUUUCGACCUCGAGACGGGAUAGAAGCUAUACCGAAUAGGUAAGCAGGGAAAGUAUGAGCCGCACUAAAUGAUAUGUUGGAGAAUGAAUGAGCUGACCACCUUAUGAGUAAGUCCGCUUCUAAUCGUGCAUGAAAAUAAGGCUAUCUGAUCCGUGAAUGAUGUCAAGUUAAACCCAUACUUUAAGAUGUCAAGUGAAACCUAUACUUUCAUUAAGUAAACUAACCAUAAAGCUGGCAAAUCCAAGUACCUAUGUUCUAAACAAUAGCUUGUGUAAUCUGACCGGAACAAGGCGGAUCCCCUGGGGCACUUUCAUUAUGGAACUUUUCGUUAGUACUCAAAAUGGUGAUCACAUUCAGAAAACCUUGUGACUUGCAAAACUUAUCCAUCCGAAGCUAAGGUUGUAUAAGCAAAAAGGAUUUCAUAAGCGAGAAGAUCAGACUCGGCGUAACGUCUUCGUAUUGAUUGAAACCAACAUGGCUAGCUCCAACGAGCACAAGGAAUUGAGCAAAGCAAAUAUAGUAGCAUUAUCACAAGUAUAUGUAUUUCGCUUGGAAAGAAUCCUCUAAGACCGGAACAACCUUUCUUGCUAAACGUCCUCAUUUGCCAUUGGAUCCAUUUGACCAACCCAACAAACCGUAUAAGAUUGGACUUUGCUUUGAAUAAAAAGAGAGGAAGCGAAGCUUAAGCAACUUGAACCUUAGGAGGCAACUGAUUCCAAAGUAGAUCCGGCUCCCUAGCAAGCUUUAGUCUUCCUUGAUACUUCGGAGGCGGGGAGAAUACUCAUUAUUUGUUUCUAUCCGUUUUUUGACUUUCCUCUAUAGCUUGGGGAGGAAGUCUGGUAAGGUGUAAAGUACAAAAGCAGAAAUAGAAUGGUUUCAUUGUUUAAGCCAAGCUAAGAAUCAGAAAUCUCACUUUGGACAUUGAGUUGGAACAUGACGAAGCAGAAAGGAGGAGUGUGAGACCUAGCGUAGGUAUUCGUAUGUUGUAAGGGUUCGCCUCUUGAGGAAGCCCCAGCUUAUUAAGAAAAGUGAGUAGGGAGAUGAAGCUAGGAUAAGUGAUCUGGAAGUCUUCCGUUCGGGUCUUCUCCAGUGGGUGGGAUAAGGGAAAUAGGCGCAAAGAGUCGUGCUUCUUAGCGAGGAAGCAAGUGAAUGGUCGUCUUUUGAAAGCUUGGAGCUAGACUUAUUCUUCCUGACUCGAUUCCAAGUUUCAUCACACUAAGCCAGAGCCAAACUAGAGUUGGUACGUGGAAGCAAUGUAACCAACGGAACUAGCUGUCUCGGAUCUUUGAAUAGACAGAGAGAGAUGAUCUUACUGCGGCCCAAGAGCGUAUUCGUUCAAAGAGCUAGCAAUUACUUUCUUCCCACCCGGAAAUCGUAGUAGGAGAAAGACAUUCAUAUAUUACCCAGGCACGGGAUAAAGGGAAAGAUGGAGCCGAGAGCCGGGAACACAAUCGAAAGACCCUCAACGGGGAUUCUCUUACUACCUAGACUACCUAAGCAAAUGAGACUUCAUUAACUACCUAAGCAAAUGAGACUUCAUUAGUUCAUUACUAUAGCUUGUUCUGUCGUUAUAUAAGUGAUUACUGAUAAGAACGAUGGUUAUUACUAUAUCUUGAUCUUGCCUUAUUAAUGUAUGAAUCAGAGUGAAUAGUGCAUAAUCCAGCGAAUCAACUGCCUUUCUAGGAAGAGUUAAUCCCGAAAGAAAGGGAAUUCAGUCCUCCUAGUUCAAUCCUUCUCUUGCCUUACUUCCAUAGUAAUCUCACUUCUAUAGUAAUCAGACUUCUAUAGUAAUGAAUUGCAUGGGAAAGGAAAGCCGGAUCUUGAAGCUAGGAUGCUUUUCUAACUAACGCUUCAAAAGAAGCCUACGGUGGGUAGUUUGGCCAGAGGCCCCCUUGCUUCUAACGUUCUGCACCUUCUAACAUAAAUCCCAGAUGUGGAAUUGUCUUAUAUCAGAUGUGGAAUUGUCUUAUAGCUUUUUAUUCGUUCAUUCCUGCGAAUCCAUCUCGUCUGGUACCUCGCGGGAAUUGUCCAGCCUGAACCCUCAUUCGAUAAGAGGACAUUCGAUAAGAAAGAGGAAGCCGCCCUAAACCAUCUCUCCAAGAGAACCUAGGAUCCUUAUUUGGACGCUGGGGCACGUGGAUAACCUCAAUCCUCAAGAAACCGCGAAUCAACGAGUACCGCUCAUAACGGUGAUAUUGUAGGUUCGAAGACCUACUAAGCCUACCACCCCUUUCUCUUCACCCGAUACAAGAAGGGCCCACCACCCCUUUCUCUUCACCCGAUACAAGAAGGCAGUCGAAGUCCCCUCCACUCUGCAUUUUUUGGGAAGACAUCGCGUUUCUCGUCGAUUUCCCUCAUUGCACUGUCCCAUUAAUGCUACGAAGUGAAGCAGGCAUAGCUAUAGGUUUGUCUCUAUGCCUGUGAUCUUUCAUCAACCACGGCUCGGUAUCGGUAGUCUCCGUCUUUCCCUGGUAUGAGUUGAGAGUUGCAGAGUGAGUCUUAUUCUACUCUAGGCUCACUCCACUCCCUGCGUUGUCUUAUUUCCUGAGGGACUAGAUUUUCUUUCAAUCCCUGACUCUGUCUUUUGGCUAACGCCUAUAGUUCUCUCCUCACUAACAGAAGUCUCUUAGUAAGUAGCAUCCGCUCUGAAGGGGGUAAAGCCUAAGUAUGGAGUAUUCUAGGGCACGGGCACACCUUACCUGCCUCCAACCCUCAAGAUCCGCGGACGACGCCUUCUUCCGAAAGUCCUCUCUCUUUGCUUUGACCCGAAUGCAAAAUAUCCGUAUCCGAGGGUCUUGCUUUGUACCAUAUAGAUAGGAGGGCCUAUCAAGCCGCUUAGUAGUCUAUUGUAAGCAAAGUAUGCCCUACAUGUCAACACAGGGUAGAAGUCAAAAGCAUCGAAGAUUAGUACUGAGUACAUGGAAGCACCAAUGAAUAAAGUCAAGAGUUCAGAUAGAACCUUCUCGACAGAAGAAAGAUUGUGGAAGAAUCAUAAAUAAGCAGCCUCUUUAUCUCACCGGUGACAUCGGCGAAAGAAAUAAGGCUACCGCGGGUAGAGAUCGACCCUGGGGCCUCCAUCAACACCACUGCGGGCCCUAGCCGCCUAUCUUUGAAUGAAUUCCUAGGAGCCUUCAUACCAAGGUAACCAUUCGGGGGUACAAUGCCGACUCGCAAAGAGCCAUCGGCAAGAUUCGUCUCAAGUGCCAAACAUGUGAUCUGAAGACGAAGGUCACUUCUUACGUGAUUGAUGUGACACCUCCUAAACUUCCUACUUGGAUCCAAUGGUACCUUACAAACCCUUCAUCAAUGCUUCAAAUACGUUGAUGAGAAGGGUAUUUGCCGACCCCCUUUCUUUCGAGUCUAGUGUCUGUACGGAUGCGCGUCUUUACAACGACCCUCAGACAGUGAUGGAUGACGAAAGCCCGCCAGCGAAAGCCGAAGCACAGGUUCUCCGAAUCCCAAACAGAAAGCUAAGGGAGUUACGGGAAACGCUAUCUCAAAGAGCAUUACCCUGUUCAAUCUCUAAAGAGUGGCUUUGGGAAUGACUUCCACUCUCGGUAAAGAUGCCACUUCCAGCAUUACUGGAACCUUAUAAGGCGGAGGACCCUAAUAGAGCGACAUUCGUCCUCUCAAUAUUGGGUUUGCUUCCUCAUCUUUCACAGGGUAGCCCAGAAGUCUUAUUCUAUAUGCUGGAAAGAAUCGGUCACGUAUGGAGAAAUCGAAAGUACAGUCCUUUUGCAAAGAAGCGAAGGACAUGGGCUAUGCCCUUGAGGUCGGGCUGAAGUUAAGAACGGUCGAGGCAGAAAAGUACCCCCACAGCCGCUAAGUAAAGAAGAAAGGGAAGUAGUAUAAAGCUGCUCAGCUCCCACAUUGCAUAGACUCGACUUACUAAGCUUGAAAGAGAACCGGUGUAGAGAGGAACCCGGUGCUUUUCCCCACUUCCGAUCCCUUGAGUGAAUCCAGACCAUAUAGUCAGUAAGUAUAUAGUAAGAAGUCAGUAAGUAUAUAGUAAGUAAGUCAGUAUAGGGUCAAUAAAUCCCAUCCUCAUUGUGUCGGCUCUAAGGAUUUAUGUAGGGACAUCAGAAGUAAAGGCCUCUCCCCCACUGAAAGAACUAGUAAAGCGAUCAGUCUCUCUUCCUAUUUCCCCAUUACCGAUGUUUCAUUUAUAAGAAAAUGCUUGAUCUGGCAAUGGUUGAGGCUUGAGCUUACUUUCACAUUUUCCAUUAUUUCAUUCAAAGCGCUUGAGUACUUGUUUAAAAGCAAGUAAGGAAAGAUCCGAUCAUUAGGUAAAGAAUAUGAAAACAAGGAUUAGUAGACUAAGCAAGGUUAACUACAGACUUUAUGGCAGUAGCGAUAGGCUGAGGGAAGAAAAGAGAGUUAGAGUGGAGGUAAGGCGAUAUAGACUAAAAGCAAGUCAAGCGAGGAUCCGGUUCUUAGGAGUAUAAGAGUAUGGUUUGGGAGUAAGGCUGGCCUACUUUCAAGUUCAUUCUUACAGGCACAGGGUGAAUUCUAAUGCUGACUUGUGCAAUUCUGGUGGAGUAGGUAGUCGUUUUGUUCUCAUGGAGUAGCCCGGGUUCCGCAACUCGCAAACAAGAUUAGGUGCACAGGGGAGGCAGGCUCAAACAAACAAGUAAGAAGGAGCUAAAUCAGUAGAUACAGAGAGCGAGGGGGGAAGAACGAAGCUGACAAGUAAGGCUUGGGUAGCGAUGUAGGUCGGAGAGAAAUAAUAAGUAAGAUAAGGAUAACACUUAGGAGCAAGACAAGAAUCCAGUGCGGGGGUUGGUUUCAAAUAAGAAAGUAGAAGAGCUGGUGCCGAUAUUCAAGAAAGUAGAAGAGCUGGUGCCGAUAUUAUAAUGAAGUAUGAAUAGGGUUUAGUGUAGCUAGAUUCCAUUCCAUAAGUGAGGGGCGCUGAAGAACCAAUAUUUCCUAUAAGUUGACGGCUGUAACCCAUAUUUCUAUAAGUAAACACCCUCUGUGAAACUCUGAAAAUACUUAUUUGACUAACUAAUAUACUGAUCGAGUUUGCUUUGCUUUUCGCUCCGUUAGCGCAACUCACUACGUUACUUGUUGUGUCAGCUGUUUGUUUACUUGAUUUUAGUCAGCAGGGAAGUGACUAUAUUCUAUUAGUUGCAUGCUAGAUUCCAUUCUCCAAGUAGUUGUCAAAUGUCGCAAUAUCUGUUUGCUAGCAAUGCUAUUAGUUGACUAUUAUCCAUAUGUGUAACACUUCCCAUUCAAUAAGUAUCAGAAUAGAUAGCAAGGGCCAUAAGGCUUUCACACCUGAUUGAGUCGAGUCUACUAACCUAUGUUCAACUCGUAUUCUGGCUAAGGUUAAAGAACUUGAACUCUAUGACAAGGAGUGGCGAGCAGGACAAUCUGUUGGCGUACACUCCAUUAUGACUUUCAAUUCAUCAUCUAUCUCUUAUACUCUUAUUACUGGAUUCCAUACAAGACACCCUUCUUAUUUGCUUCUACUCAUAGCAACGGCCUUUACCCUCUGGAAACUUCACCUUGUAGUGGCGCAUUCGGCUUGGCUUACUCAUACGAUAAAACAAGAACGGAAUUAGUAACGAAGGAUAGGAGAUAGUUAUGGAAUUGCAAAGUGAGCGUCUUCAAUACGAGUUCCAGUUCGCUAUGUAGGCUACGUUGAAAUAUGUGAUUAGUAACAAUCAGAAACAGUUUCCAGAGCUGGGGAUCUAAUGAAGUAUCUUGAGUUGGAACAGAAGAUCGGAUUGCCCCCAAAACGCUUCAUCUUUCUUUCGGUCAACAAAUACAGAUCCGUCUUGCGCAGGCAGAGUAGAAAAUCCAUAUUACUGAUGUGCCAUAUAAGAGAGGAAAAGAACAGAGCACUGCAAACUCCACUUAGUCUUGUUUAGCGUCUAAGCUUUUGACUAACUGAUCUGAUGCGCGGAAUUUCCAUAUUACUUAUUUAUGUUCUAUACCAGAGGAAUUGAAACCCCUGUAAACUCCCGUUAACACAACAAAGAAUGUCAGAACAGAGGAAUCUCUCGGCUUCUUUCUAUAAACAACGAGAAAAGUCGAACUGGGCUAACAGCUUCUUUUCAAGCAACUGGAUACUCCUCCUUACCUAUAUCCUUUCCCUAAACUAAUACUUGGUUCCUUCCUUCUAAACUAAUACUUGGUUUGUAUUCUUUUCUCUCUUAUCCUACUCUGGAUAUAGCGAAAGCAUCGGAUAUGGUUCCCACUCUUUCCCCCGAUACGUAUAAAGCAUCAGAUCUUGUUCCUGCUCUAUCUUCUGCUCUAGACUGUUUUUCUCUAUCUCUGGUAUCGCCAACAAAAAGAGAGACCCUAGUAUGCCCUUUUGCAUCGCGGGUAAACUACUCCAAUGGAAAAUAGAUCAUUGAAUACCACUUACAGCUGUUCAAGUGCAUUGACGCCGAAUCACUUCCACCCUUGCCUUGACUUGUGAAUCCAUCCGCCGUAUUCAGUCUUUAACCGAUACGAGUUCUAUAAGAGAAGCCCUUGCUUUGGGUGCUCAAGUCAUCCGUGUUGUCGACUCUUGAAUCAGAACAGUUGAUUUGCGCUUUAACCACUACGUGGGCAGUAUGGAUGAGCAUUCCAUUCUCUAUUUCUAUAGGAUCAAAGUAGGCUACAAUGCAUUCAAAUAAUUCCGAAACAAGAACUUCGACAACACAAGAACGGAAAUAGACUCAUAUUCAGUAGACUACGUAAACCCCUCUGGAUUUAUGGUCUUUCACUCUUUCACUUGCGCCAACAAACACAUUAACUUCAUUUGAAUUCUUCUAUUGAUAAAGCUUCUUUUGAAAAGUAAGGAAAGGAAGCAGCAAGUGAUGAAGCGGGAAGCUGGAUUCGCUGAAUUUUCCAUUAGGUCUGUAUUGAUUGCUCUAGCCUCGGGAACACAUCAAACAAGAAAGAAGGAUUCCCCUAAGCGUCGGUUAAGGCCUGGCACUGCCUGCUGUAGUUUGACUCUUAUACUUACGGGCUCAAGUGUUAACCAAUAGGAGUCGUUUUAGUUUCAACGUUUACAAGCACUCUAUCUAGCCGGCAUCCAAUAGAGAGAAAUGCAAUUACCACCUCACUUUUAAGCCUGAUAGCGGACAGUGUUCAAAUAUCCAAGCACUACCCAAGGUUGCCCAGCUACUCCCAUUUCCAUAUCCCUCAGUCCCCAGUCCCUCUUAACCUUUCCGUAGGAGAAUUCGACCCGUACACCACGGUGUGUGUGGUGAGUAAGCCCAAUCAAUUCCUCUGUUUUUCGUUAACUUUGAAUUCAUUAGCUUUUUUCCCAUAGUGAAUUCCAACUUAAACAUCCUUUGAUCCCAGCUAAUCAAAAGACGGCCCCUAGAGAGUUACUAGAAUUCUCAAGGGAAUCCAAACCGGGAAAAAGCCUGUUCCUAAUGCCGAGUUAUCAGCACGGACUCUCGUCUCCAAUAGGCCCAGAAAACCAAUGCUGUGCUUCGACCCAGUUCCCUUCACUGAGUCUUUUUCUCUUAUAGUUAUUCCUUUAUACGUAUGAAAUUUCACCAUACCAUGUUAUUGGAAUUUCUUUUAAGCGAAGAACUCUUACCAAAACUUGACUGUCGCGCUUUGAGUCAUCCAAAUCCCCAGCAUGAAUCUUGAACUCUAGUUAUCUCAGCUACGGUAGAACAAUAAUUAUGGAAGUAAGCAAGCAGUAAUGGAGUCCUAUAGAAUCUAGUCCCUUCUCUUUCAGGAAUAGGGGCGGUUUCAUCUUCCUCCGCAAAAAGAAAGGAAAAGAAAGAAUGAGAGACUUUAUAGCAAUGGGUUCCUCCUAAGCGAAGAAGGCUGUAAGCAAGGUAGGAAAGAGACUUCUUAGAGAAAUCCUAACUGUUAGAAAUAGCAAGAGUCAUCCCUCUCUGAAACCUCAUGUUUUAGGAAAGUAUUUAUUGAUUUAUUGAUUUUGAGCUUAGUUACUAUUUGGCUUCGUAGCCGUCCAUUUCAAUCUACCAACUGACUUUAGAAAACCCCUUAUUUCCUCAAAGAACCUAAGCAGGUAAUAGAUAGGAAAGAAGGAUUCUAUUAUCGUCGACGGACACAUAAAGUUGGCCUCCUUGCGGCUUUCAAAGCUACACUGACUUCCUUCUCGAAAAGCUGGAUUGGAUGCAGUGUUAAGCGCUUUCCCAUCUUUCCAUUCUUUUAUGAAAAACCUUAUGUAUGAAAAAGCAGAAUUCCUCCCAACACUCUUGGAACAUUCCCGUCUUGCUUGACUCGAGUUCUAGUUUUCUUAUAUGCUCCUAAUUCGAACACUUUCUGAACUUCCGCUCGCUUCCGACUUGCUUGCUACUAUCGUCUUAUAAGACAGACGUGUUUUGUUGACAUUGGUAGCUAUGCUUAGGUAGCUAUGCUUAGCGUCGACAUAUAUAUAUAUUCUAUAUUCUAACUUCAUCUCAUUGAUUUUGGAAAGAAACGUGAAACCACGGGAAAACAAGCAAAGGAAACAACACAAACGGCAAACUCAUUCCAUAUAUAAGGAAAAAAGUCCCAAUAUCCCAUAAUCCAAGGACAGUGACAUUUCUUUCUUGCCUUCUUUCGUCACAUGUCUCUCUGGUACUAAUCAUUCUUUCCUUUCUGUCUGGUACUUACUAAUCAUUCUUUCCAUUCCGCGCCAUUCCGCGGGAAAAUAGCGAAUGUUCGGAUUGCUUUCUUAGUGUGGCAUCCGCUGUCCACUGGUGAUAUUUCAUAUAUAAUAGAAUCCAGAGCUUAUAAGAAAAUCCAAUCGAGUCGCUUGCGGGCAUUGGCAAAUCCAAUCGAGUCGCUUGCGGGCAUUGAUCCUUGCUGGUCCUUCUUUGGCUACGUGAGAAUGGGAAGGAGUCAAUCAUCGAGUGACUGGCUAACUCUCCUCUUACGUGUUUUAGUUUCCUUGUUUUUCGAGAAAAGGUCCUAUUCUUCAAUUCAUGAUUGUGUCGACCAGGCCAGAUCAUGAGAGAUACGCAGCGCAGAUAUAAACACCAUGAACCUUUUUUCUUCUACUCUUCUUUUUCUUUGGAGUGUGAUUUUCUACGUGGGAUUGUAGUUUCUUGUUUGCUUAGAUUUAGAGCUCCGGCUGAUGAAAUUCGAAUCUCUUAUUCUUGGUCUUGGAAUAGGACUCAAUUUUGGAUUACAAAGGGUCGGGUGGGAAGUAGGUCUGUCUCUUUUUGUCGCUCGUUUUAGUUUGCUCUGCUUAAUCCAGAAGGCGCACCCACUCUAGGUAACAUGAUGUUUCUUUACUGUGAUUUGACUUCGAGCCCGCCCCGCCUCAUCACCCGUACCAUGCCAUUAUACCUAUCGUCGUAGAAUCAGUGUUCCUAGGAAAGAUUCUGGUUCUCGGGUAUCCAAUUAAUUCAUCCCUCCAGGUAGGUUGACUAUGGUCAGUGCAGUUUCACUAAUCUUUUCAUUAGAUAAGGAACAGUUGCCACCAAGAAUGUGUCCUCUGGCGUUGGGGACCCCAUCCUCGGCUUGGGCAGGGGAGUCAAUAGAAACCUCCGUGAGUUUUUCAUCUUUCUUGGGUUAUAUGAUUUUGGUUCCCAUAGAGAACGCCACCUCGUUUGAACAACGCUUACGCAGGAGCACAGAGGUCGUUCUUUCCAACUUUGACGUACUAAAUGGGAUGCUCCGCUUUUUGGAUGGGGCUACCAGCGAAGUCGAUGCAACUGGUAUAAGAAGGAAGACAGUGUGGGCUGCGAAACUCAAUGAGUUCCUCGUUGCGCGGCAGGGCAGCUAGUUCGCCAUUCCACGAGUUCCGCUCGGUAAACCCUCAAAUCCAAGCAGGGUGGACUCGCUCCUAUUGUCUUAGUGAUUGUGUACCAUACUGUAAAUCCCACAAACAAAUAGAGACUUUCAUGGCAUCUGUGCGCAUCAAGGAAGUAAUCAAUUCUCUCGUAUUCAUAUAACUGGGACCCUUCCAAUGAUAGAAUCCCUCGUUUAUGCACGGUUACGUAAUGUAACGGCUAUCGUCUACUAUACUUUGUGCUAUUCUAUCAACGUUAGUAGUCUCAAAAAGAAACAAACCAUCCCUAUAUUUAUUUGUGACAAUUGUACCCGCUAUUAUAAGAACUAAGCAUGGUAUACGAUUUCGAAUAAGACUCGUGUAAGAUAUGCACCCAGACUCCGUAGGCUUGCUCCGAAGCUUGUUUCGGCUCUCCCCGCUAUCUCGUUUAGAAAUACCCUUACUCUCUAGAAUGAUCACCUAUAAUAUCGUCAAGGAGAUUCUCCGCCGGGUUAGCCCUUAAUUGAGCCCCCCACACCAACCAGUGAGUGCGAAAAUGCUCCAGGAGCGGCAAUACCCCAGAGGCUGACCUAGGGUUUUAUAAACAAGCCCGUCGCUGCUUAGCGUGAUGCUCUCAGAGCUCAUAAACGCGUGCAGGCCUCCUCGAUCCUGAUACAUCCACUAGGCUUAUGCGGCCGAGUUCCUAAUCCGCGUAUACUGAGCAAAUUGCCCAAAUCUCAUUCGAUGAUCGUGACCUUUUGUUAAAUACGAAAAAACACAACGUUGCACUAAGAUAUGCAGAAAACAUAUAUCAACUGCAUUCUGGUCGAUCCUGGUAAGCACUCUCACAAAAGUAGGGCACACUGUACAACUUCAAAUGUUCUGAUUCAAGGGUUCCAUCAAAACAGUCCGGCGUCGUCGAAGCUCUAAAGUACUCGCAGUGACGGUAGCUUCCUCUGAUGGCCUAGUCCCAUUUUUCUUCCCCCUGGACAGUUAGUUUGAAUCACUUUUCGGUCCUGUGUGUUUAGGUUCUGGAAGCUUCUUUCCUCCCUCAUUUGAUUCAGGGCAGGGGUUUCUUUUUCUUUUGGGAAGAAUAGGGGGUUUCCUCAUCAUAAUCAGAGUCUGGGACUGCAUCAAUUCUCCCACAUAACUCAAUGAGAAUCGGACGGUCAUCAUCAUUACGAGGGACGCCAUCCUUCUGACAUAAACUCGUCUAGCAUUACGGGUGUGCUUCUUAACGUACUCAUCCCUUAGCUCUUUUAUGAGCUCUUCGAGAGUAAUGAAAGGCAUAGGCUGUUGAGAAACCCUUAUACUUGGGAGCUUUCUUUUGUUUUAGUAUAAGUAUUGGGAAGAGGCACCAACUUAAUGGUCCAUUUAGACACCUGGGAAGGAUGUAUCUUCUUCUUUUCGCUCGCCUUGCGCUUGGUACACACGGUCCACCCUUCUUCAUUGUCUUCCUCAUCGGAAUAAGAGAGUCAGAUUCAUAGAGAUCAAAGAGCGAAGGGAGUGGAUACUUUGGAUCUUCCUCCAGAGUCACUGUUUCUGUCAUCGGGAUUCAAGCAGAUUUGAGGCGUGAGCACAUGUACGACAGAAGAAGGCGCAGGAGUAGUUCAAUCCGUUUCAGGAUUCAUUUAUCUCCCAUCGAAGCGGACUUCUAAAAUCAAUAAUAAGUCAAUAAUAAGAUACGAUUAUUGAGAAAUCUCUAUGAGUAGAGGAGUGGAACCUCUUGUCUCUACGAUAUAGAGUGAAUUAAGGAGGGGACUCAUUCUGGGGCAUAGAGUCACCGGGGUAGGGAUAGGACUCGACUACAGCUUGGUCCCUUAUUCGAUCCGGCCAAUGAAAUAAACGAAUUGUUGUUCAUCGAACAAGCACCAUUGGUCGAGCACUUGGACAGAGGGGCCUCCCAACUGCAGGCUCUGGUGGGAGAACGGUAUACAUUGCCUGCUGCCCCAUCCCAAUAAGACGUGUAUAUAAACAACCCGUGCACGCGUGGGCUCUCCUUUUAGGUAGCUUCCCGGAUCCACAAAAGUCACCAAGUUUUCGUUGGUCGUAUGAUUGAUGAUUGCUCGCUUUCCUACCUUCACGGCUAGUUUCCGAAGGAACCUGUGUGUCUUUACCAACUCGCCCGGUGAGCGCUCACGACUAAGCUCUACUCGGAUGCUGUCUCGAAAGGUGCAGGAGGUGAUGAACACAGGAAAGACUUCUACUGGUGCUACUGAUGCUAGGGCCAAGCAACUACUAGUGUUUUCUGAAUUGCUCCAUCUCAAUACAAAAGGUACUUCUUUUACAUGGACUAAUGGAAAGGGGUACUCAUGGUCAUGUGGAACAGCGUCUAGAUCGGGUGCUUUGUUCUGAGCAAUGUGUUGGAUGUUUGGAAUUCUUUCUACAGUCCCUCGGCAUCACUCGGACCACACUCCUCUUUUAGUUUCAGCAGUUAUACAAAGAAACAAACUUAGAGGUCUUUAUCAACCUUGAACAUUUCCAUUCAAUGUGGCUUUCUCAUGCAUACUUCAUGAACACGGUUCUUCAUUCUUUUGACUCUAACUCCUUUUUCGGUUCCAAAAUGUUGAUUCUUGCUAGUAUACUUCAAUCUAUGAAACAUAUGCUUCAAUCUAUAAGCGUCGGAUCGGUUUCACGUCUAUUGAUAUUAGCAAUUUCGCAUUGGAUUUCUUGGAAUCCCAUAUCUAUUGGUCAUCUAGAUAGGUUAUUAAGCUAGUACCUUAUUUGGAAUCUCCGGACAGUAUGGAAAUGAAAACCACUAUGUCAGUCAAUAGCCUAGUUCUAUUCUUCCAAGGCCUGCUUUAGUGAAUGAUACAGUAUAGUCUCCCACUUACUCCUAAUUGCUCAUUCCUAUUCUGUAACUCUCCAAAAAGAAAGAGGUUAUUGCCCAUCUUCCAUCAACUCUGUGAAAUUGGCUUGACGAGAGAGAUGUCUCACUAAUAUAUUGAGAAUUGUUAUUGCGGUAACUUGGUAUCGUCAUAGCUACAUCCAGGGAAAUGACUUGGUAUCGUCAUAGCUACAUCCAGGGAAAUUCGGCGGCGAGAACCCUAGAAUCUUCCACGUCACUCGGCGGCAUUUAUAACUAAAUCCAAUUCGGCCUCCUUGUCCUACUUAACCUGUAUUCCGACUUCUGCUUGAGUGAGCCUCUCGGGGAUGAAUUAGUAAGCUUGCCCUGGUGGGCUUGUACUUUUCUCAAGAAAGAAUCAAUUUCUAGGGUGGCCUAUUCAAUCCUCUGUUCUCUGGCACUAGUAGUUUCUUAUGCAGAGCAUUCCUCGCCUCUUAUGCCUGUCCAGUACAAAGCCCAAAUAACACUGUUUUCUUGAGCGUUAGACGACAAGAGUUCCAAUAUCUUUCUUCUAUACUUCAUUUCAUUCCCCAACUCACUCGCCGGCCAUCCGGGCGGAAGCCUUACUCUCAUAAGUGAAGUCCCCAGCGUCCCCUCUCUUUCAAGCGUGAAUAGACGCGGAUCUGUCUCUGAUAUCCUGUGAAUAGCCAAAUAAAAGCUUAGACAAAAGGUUAGCAUGACAAUAAGCUGAGACCUACCAUGAACAACUAUAGUGGGAAGGCAGCUUAUGAACGAGACAAAAGGAGGAGACCGAAGAUAAGUUAGGGAAAGGAAUAGGGAGUUGUAAUUUGGAAGAGGUGCGUAACUCUAGUUGGAGCAGCUUGAAUUUCUGGAUAACAAACAGGGUCUAUGAUGAUUUUGGUAAGGUGGGAUAACGUUCCUAUGAUGAUUUUGGUAAGAUCUAUCUUUCAAAGAGUUAGCAGUCGAAAAGGGAGGAAGAACUUUAUCAACCAAUGGUUUCUUACAUUACUCCUCUAUUUAUCUGAUAUGAUAGAAACCUCUCAUACUUUCCAAAGUUCUAUUGUUUGUUCCGGGUUAAGCACUUGGAUUCCGCUUAACAGAUCCCAUACUUUGAUCGGUAACUCCUCGACAGAAUCACCCGGGGAAGACUUAUGUAAUGCGCCUUAAACCAUCUUCUAUAAGCGUAUCUAGUACCUCCCUAAUUACCAAUCCUGAGCUAGUAAGUCAAAGUAAUCCAAUCCCCAUUUCUAGUGGAAUAGAGGUUCGAGGACCCGAACUAACUUAAGAGGAAAGCUGCUUUCCAAGUGCUAGGCGGCUUAGGCAGUGUAUCGGAUCUUCGGGCAACCAACCAGUUUAUAUGUAUGCCCAAACGAGGAAAUCGAUCUUAGCAUAGUGGCUCUUUUGAUUUACACUUGAAGAUUCUAUUCCACAACUAGCUAAACCUACGGGCAGAAGAAAUAUAUCUUACUCGCUUUGAAGCGGGAACGAAAGAAAGAAUCCAAUCCAAACUCAUCAAAUAGAGAAAGGGCGAAUCACUUACAAAAAAGAACAACGAUAGAAGGAAGCGAAGAAAAGAAAAGAAAAUCAGAGAGAGUCCAGUCCAACCACUCCUAUUACUUGCAAUCGUUUUUGGGGUUUGAGGCUUGAUUCUGGUAGUAGCCCGACCCUUGCUAUUAGUCUAAAGCGCUCAGAGGAGGAUCCCGGCCUACCAUGGUAUGUGUUGAUCCCUUGGGGCAGUUAGCAUCUCCUAGUUAGAGCCAGUCGAACCCACUAGCGAUCAAAUACAAACCAAGAGAUAGAUGAAUUGGGGAAACCUCUCAGACUCCCUAGACUGUUACGGAAUUGAAACGAUCAUGAAAGCCUGAGCCCACAGGACCAAUAGCUAUAGGGAACCCAUAAGGUGCCUUUUCCUUUUAGCUUGGACUCACCCCUGCCACGUUAUGCACUUUCGCUUUUCUCGUUUACUAUAAAGCAUCCUCAGAGAAGGAGGGAUCUGUUAAGGCCGGUUGUCCAAUCAACGGCAGCUAAGAACACUUAUUCGAGCGAGACCCAUAGGUUUGAGUUAUAACCUAGAAGUCAAUCAUUUGCUUCAUUAGUUCCAAUAGUCAGUAGGUAGCAAAAACGAGUAACGGCUUGCAGAACAGAACUCCGUAAGCGCAACCAAUUACUGUAGUGACUUGUCGACUUGUUUAUUCGUUGCUUGUUCCCCUGCUUGCUUGUUCCAUUACUUGUUAGCUUACUUCUACUUUGCUUGUGCCUUAGUGAGAAAGCCCUAUAGCGUAAGUGAGUUUAUGGCAUUUGGGAGUUAUGAAUCUAAUGUCAAUUCUUUGUUUACCGAACACAGGCUAUGAAGAUAGGUAGCAGAACACUAAGCCUACAGCUAUUUGUCAAGUAUCUCGUUGCCAUUCACAUUCCAUAAGUCAGUUUCGCAGUAAGAGUUAAGCAAGAGCAAACAAGCAGUGGCGUAGCAGAAUAGUUUCUGAUCGUAUUUGAGUUUCGCAGUUAGAGUGAUGCAAGCAAACAAGCAGUGAGGUAGUAGCACAAUAGUCGUUUCUGAGCGUCGUGUUGGGAAUCAAAUCAUCAAGUACUGGCUCCGCUCUACCUAUUACAGCUGAUGCUGAUGCUAACUCGGGAAAUUCCGCAACUAAAGACAUCUCUAAACAAGCAGCAGGAACAAGUUGGAGAGUUUACCCCGAGGCGAGAGAUGGAAAGAAAGUCAGAGUUGAAGCUUACUCCAUUCUAUACCCGGUGCUCUAUAAUAAAUGCAAGCUUAAUGUGCUCUAUAAUAAAUGCAAGCUUAAUAUUAGUGCUUUGAAGCGGGAACAAGAUCUGAAUAAGUUAUGGUUUUGUCUCCGAUAUCAGAGGUUAUUGAUGGAGCAGAAACUGGUACAGCGGGAGAAUAAGCUAGAUAAGAAGCUAUAUCAAGUCAGUAAGCAGGUUUUGUUUCAUCCCAGUCGACUUUGAUCCUACCUAUAGAAAAAGAGAAUAUGGAAUGCUCAUCUGCUGAAGCGUUAGCGAGCCUACCCUUUAGCAAGUCCUGUCUUCGGGAGGCUGCUAGACCUCACGUCAGCUAAUUAGGGGUGCUGGAGCUUUGACUUCUCCUUAGGCGCCGGGCAACGGGCACAGGAAAUAGACUCACGAUAUAAGAACGAACUCCAGCCUAACCUCAAUCUACAGUAAAGGCAGGAGUGUUUUUAUUAUGAAGAAGGUGACUUAAACGCAAUAACAGUGCCGAUAUUAGCUAUAGUUAAGAGAAGUGACUUUUAUAAGAUGUGCAUUUCUUCUUAAAAACAUAGACCGUAGCUGGAAAAGGAGAAGAUAGCUAGAAUAUUAGACAAGUGCUCCACCUGACUGCUGACUGCACACUGAACGAACAUCAUAUUUGAUAGCGCUCCCAAUCCAUAUAGAAACAUAGUCAAAAGCACUGAUUACUGCUUACUUUACUCACUCUAACUCGAAUAAUCGUUAUAAAUAUGACAGUUCUCAAUAUUACAGUUAAUAUACGAGCUUCUUUCUACUUUACAAAAAAGUAUCAUUCUUCCAAGCAAGACCGGCAUUGCAUCCUUUACUUUGACUUUAGCAUUAGGAGUGUAGUAGGCCAACACGGAUUCAUUCUCAUCCACUCGAUUCAACGCCAUAGGAAGUGGCGCAAAGGUCAUCUCCCCUAUGGAUCUCGACUCUCUUUUCUCCUUUGAAGUCAGAAGCCUCAUCUCAGUUCUCAUGCUAAGGGGCGUUGCUACUUAAUAUCUAAUAUCUAUAAGCUCUGCAUUGCUACUUAAUAUCUAAUAUCUAUAAGCUCUGCAGUCAUUGGUAAUAUCUAUAAGCUCUGCAGUCAUUGGAGAUAGAAGCGUCGGGCCCACUACAUUAUCAAAUAGAGUCUAAAGGAGGAGUAGCGUCGUUGCUGUCUAUACGAUCUCACUCAAAGUGUCUUCACCUAACCUUUUUGAUAGGCCUACUAGGUUGAACAACCAGACGAGAUACUCUACUUUCUCCGCGCAUAAAGUCUUUCUACAACACUCGAUACUUGCUUUCGAACAGAAGGAAUGGAACUGAGCUCUGAUCCGAACGAGCAACUGAAUCAUAAGUAUCAAUCUUGAUCGUAUAAAAGCAUCAGCUGGAAUGGAUUGAAGUGCGCUAAUGGAUAGAGUAGCAUUUCCUCAAUUUCUUGUUGAGCACAUGGGGCGUUUGUCAGAUUCAUUACUUAUAUACUCUCUCGAAACAAUCAAUUCAAGGCAAGCAAAUCGACUUGGUCUAACUACGUUGCUUGGACUCCGCAACUACUAUUAAGCAUUAUCCUCUAAGAAGAUCAGAAUUGGAAUGAAAGCGCUAAGAAUGGGAAUGAAAGCCAGGGCCCAACAACAAGACUAAGUAGAGAGAUAGGUUCGGUGCUAGAAGACUAAGUAGAGAGAUAGGUUCGGUGCUAGUUGAAUUCCUUGUUUUAUCUCUCGGUGAUUGGUUUGACCUUGCUUGUCGUGGAGAAUAGAAUGUUAUCAAGUAAUCCCUGUAAGCAGUUUCCAGAGGAUAAGCAGUGGAAAGUGGAGUUUCAGUUUCAAAAGAAUCAUUAGCGAGGUAUUCUAGAAGCCGGUAACUAACACACACAGUGCUCUUUAUCGAAAUACAUAAUGGAACUAACGCACACUUCAUUCAAUAGAGUUCGCGUCAGCAAGGGAAGUUUAGGUCGAAAAAGGGAUGCUAUGUAUUGACUUCAUUCUAUAUCCUAUAUCAGGUGCAAGAUCAUCAAUAAAUGUUUGACUCGGAUCAAGCAAAUCAACUUAUCGGGGUGCUUACGGAGCUCGGGGAUGUAAACCCAUCUUUGAUACUCAAUCAAGCUGUCAAUAAGGCAGGCAAUUGUCUUAGUUUAAGCCAUGUGAUACUAUGCCCCCUAAAACAUCAUUGGCAGUAAAGACCUGGAACUCGUAUUUUCCAGAAAGGAAAGGAGAGCACUUGGAAUGAAGGAUGAAGAUAAUAAGUUAAGUACUUAUAAAGAUGGGACAGGUAAUACUACUUACCAUACAAAACCCCGGGAUUUCAAAUAGCAAAGCAGACUUCCUAUGGCUCUUGGAACUCUUUCUACUAUACCUCUGUCCACUUUCAUCCGGCUCCUAUAUAUAUGGCAAUUUGCACUCUUUCUCCUCUUCUCUUGCUUCUAUAACUCUGGCUACAACUACUUAUUCUACUGGACCACUACACCACUGACUAUUACUUGUUCUUUCGAUAUACCCCUUUUCCCUUGCUAGUUUACAUAGAAGAAAGAAUUGAGAUCUCUUAUCUGACCCACCAAGCAACUAAGAAAAUGGCAAGUAAAGUGGUAGCAAGCAACGGAGCAAGUCCUGUUUUUUAGUGCUGUGUUCGUCACCUGUGUUGGUGUUCUUGGCUUAGAGAGAGACAACCACUCCUUUGACUUGUUCAAUUAGUCUUCAUGGCGGCAAGGAGCCUUGUUUGUUGUUGCCGAACAAAGGGCGAUGCUAAAUAUGCCUUAUUGUCUUGACUUGGAUUAUUUCCCUCUGAAGCGCACUUCAUCUUCAUAUGAAUAUCCUCCUAUCCUUCUGUUCCACUGAAUUAAAGACAUUACUGGCUUUAAGCGAGGUAAGCGAGGUGUGGUCCAAGUCCGCUUUAUGUGGUAGGGUGCCGCUUAUGCUUGCUGUAGCUCAAAGUAAUGACCUGAAUAGCCUAAUUGUCCUUUUGUUCGUUCGCCUAGUUCGGGUGUUGCUCGUGUAUAAGUCAAUGGAUAUUCCAGGUUUCCCGUUAUAUAAGUUUGGGCAAGACGUCUAUGAUAGAUAAGUGCUUCUUCAGCACUAAGAGAAAUUACAGGAGUUUCAAUUACUAUUGGAUAUGGCACAUCAGUGUCAGUGAAAUUCAAAGAUAAAUAAAAGCGCUCUCAAGAUUCAAUUACUUCUUCAGCGUUAAGUAAUACCAGUGGAAGUUUGGGCAAGUUAUGUAUUCUCGGCCUUUGAUGCGAGGUGUACCAAAAGAAAGUAUCUAAUAUAAGCUUCUAAAAGAAAGACAGAAAUCAAGAAAGUAACGUUAAAGUCAGAUCUUGAAACCGCUUCCUCAAUAGAAAUAUCUGAAUUUGUAGUUGACUCUAAGCUGAAGGGAAGAGAUAGAUCCAAUUCAGAACUUGAAGUAUGGGUUGGGUCGGGAAGCUAAGGUAUUCCACAAGAACAGAAAGAUACUUGUAACCGGCAAGCAACAGUACUAGAUGCGGGCAAUCAGAUAGUCUAGUGGCAACUGUAGGAGUUAAUAUGUGAAGCAACAGGAGGAGUUGAUCCUGUAUAGAUCUAUUAGUAAACUAACCUACCCCAGUAUGGUAAACAAACCUACCCCUAUUGAUUGUCGGACAACAAAAAGAUUCUUCUCUUCAUGGGUGUGAUCAACUGGUCUAGUAGGUCCGGGCAUCGACUGGUCUCGGGGCCAGGUGCUUUGUCUCGCAUUCAUAGCAGUACCAUCCCAUAUGUAUUGGAUUGAGCUCGAACAUAGGAAGCAAAGUGGCUGGGGGCGUGAAUGAGAAACAACCUCGACAUAGGAGAAUUUCGCUCGAACAUGGGAUGGGAAUCGAUAUACAGAAUUGAGCUCGAACAUAGGAAGCAAAGCAGAGCAGUAAGGAGUGAGUUUAGGGUAGGGUUUCGUUUACUAAAUGACAUAGGUGCGUCGUGCAUAUUCUAUUCCAUUUCUUUCUUUAGAGUCAGCAGUCAGAGGUGUCAGGUUACAUCUUAUUAUAUACAAUAGUGAUUCUCUAUAUUCCUUCUUCAUUAUCUAGAUUCCUUCUUAUAGACUAUAGUAAUAAUUAUCUAGAUUCAAUGAUGGAAUUCAAAGAACAUCGAUUCGGCAACCUUGUUUUCAAGUAAAAGGGAAGAAGCGAGGGUUCGGCUACCUACCCAGUGUUGGGUUCCCUUACCGUCCCGUUAGCGCAUAAAAGAAUUUCUUUACUUGACUCUCUAUCUCGUAUUAACCUAGCUGUCAAUAAAGUUGGGUCAGAAAUGAAGUAUAAUUCGGGUGCAAAUACCGUUGACAGUUCUAUUGAUGUUUUCGUCGAGUUGAGAGAAUCCGCAGUAACAGAAUCCGUAGUUCGAGUUAAGUGGACCAGAUCAAUGGGCGAAGCAUUAAAGGAGACGGAAAGAGUCAGUCCGCAAGCGAGUAUGUCACCUAAAUGACUUACAAUACAUAAUAAUGGCAUAUUCAGAUCCGAGUUGCCGCAUUAAUCAUCUGAAACGUGAAACGUCAACUUUGAAUGGCUCCUAGCUUGCUUUUGGACAAGUAGCUACAUCUUUUCUGCCCCCAGGCCGAGAACUUCGUAUCUAUCUGAUGGCAGGACUUCAAGUGUAGGCUCAAACUCCAUCAAUCCAAUCAAAGCUUUGUUCUAUAUCAUUUUGGACAUCGGUUAAGACUCUAAGAGAGAAUCUUCCGAACCAGCUAACAGACCUACAACAUGAGAUUUCUCAUUCAGAUCUUUUUAAGUGAUGCAAAAUCCUGUAUAGACCCCUAAACAUUAAGGACAUGUAAUCCAUCGUGCCAUCUCCGCAAAAGUUCCUAUGUUCAGUUAUGAGAGAAGGCGUCGAUGUCAAGUUUCUAUUUCGAUUUAUUCUAUGGUUCUUCGAUUCCAUACUAGAUCCUGGGAACAAUCUAUUUCCGUAAGAUCCAUUUGUUUAUUGUUCAGGAACGGAACUUUGAGUGGUGGGGCAAAUCACUAUGUAGACUUCAUCCGAAGCGGUUGUUCUCUCUGCUUAUCUCCUUCUUAGAAUCAAUUCCUUUACUUUACUCUAAGAGGGGACCUGCUAAAGGUAUCGAGACAGGGUCAGUAAGGCUCCUCAAGUAAUUCAAUCGUGCGCUUGUCCCGGCUAACAAAGUCUAUCAGUGGGUUCGGCCUUGAAAGAUAGAGGCGAACAGGAAUUGGAAUUCUCCGAGUUGGUAUGGUUCACCGAAGAUGUUAUAGCAUGGUUUGUUCACACGGGUGUUUUCGUGCAUUCCUACAUUAACUACUUUCCUCUUUCAGUAUAGUAUUGGCUUUUCAAUAAAAGUGUAUCAAUAGAUAGGGCAAGUUUCUGAACACUAAAUAUAGGGCUCUCUGCUUCGGGUAAUUCUUUUUUAGGCUUCUCUGGAUCUGGAAAAGUCCAUAGGGGCGGUGGCAUGGAAGGCCAUAUUCUACAUUUUGUAAUGGAAUUCUUCUAGUUUCAUAAACUCUUUAUUUGGCUUUGGCCCGCUAAGCCUGUUUCAGACGAAUAAAUCGGGGUAGGUAUUUCAGCAACUGUAACUCACUCAUACUCAUUUGAGUACAGGUAGGGUAGCAUGGACUACUUGCGAGUCCGGAAUUGGAUUUCUAUUCCUAUGGGCUAGUUCCGCUACUAACAACCUAAUCUCUUUAUAGUUAUUGUUGAAUAGUUUAUGAACAAUAAUGGGUCAAACUCAUCAGAGAAUAUAUUAAUAUAGAGAUACUCUUAAUGCGCAUAGCGUAAGGAGCUGAGCUGUUGUAAUUCAAUUAUCGUGAACAGUGUAGACAGGUGCACCAAUAUCCAAAUACGGGGUUGAUGCCACUUUGAAUUGAUGAUGCGGAUUCUAACCUUGGCAAGUCUUGAGUUACCCGGCUUAGAAUCGAUACCGACUUAAUAUAAGGGCCACUACUACUGAUGCAACAGGACUACUACUACUACUUGGACUACUACUAUAAGGGGCUGUUUCUUUUUCUGACUGCUACGACUAUGAGUCUGAUACUGGAUAUGGUAGAUUGUGUACCUCUAUGAGUACUCCCUAUUACUAAUAUACGCCUUUGGGCUCUAGCUCUUCAUCAAAGAAUGCAAGAUAGGCUCGGUAGCCUGAUCAAGGUGAACUAAGGACUUUAGGUAUGGAGAGGUCGACUCGAACACUAACAAGCAAGGCUCUAAGCGCGGAUAGGUAGAAUGCAAUAAGGGAGUGCCAGGCCCUAAUUCAGAAACUUCUAAUAAAUAAAGUAUGGAAGCCUUUAGUGGCAGGGCAAAGCUCCGAGUAAUGAAUAAGAAACUGUAGUUUUAGGUUUCAAGCAAAGAGAGGUAGGCCCGAACUCAUAAGUCAGCAAGUAAGUUGCGGUGGGCUUGGAGACACUAGCGGAAUUCUCAUCAUGUGGGGGUAGUUCUUGUGGAUUGGGGGAUCAGCAGAUAAAGAAGUUGAGGUACCAGUUGGAUUCUCUUAAGUAGCGGUUAUCACCUGAGAAGCACCAUUUCCAUUCUUUUCUGUGUGUCAAUCAAUGCCUUAGAGCUAUGCCCGGGAUCCUAUAUUCUAUUAUGUGUUUCUUCUUAGUUGGUGUACCAGUGAAUUCCUGUUCAGUUAUCAUUAGUUCAAUCCGCUAGUUAGUAGUUUCAGAGUGAAAGAGGAAAUCCAGUUGAUGGGAAAGAGAUAUAGGCUGGUUGCCGGGAAGGGAAUACUAAAGCUCAUAAGCCCUAUUUCGGUUCAAGGAAAGUCAGUCUAACAAUCGAACUAUAGUAUUGAGGGCAGUAGUUCCAGAGUGAGUGUCGGGGUUAAAGUAUUGUUGGCAGGCGAGAUUCCUACUACUGAAAAGAUACUAAUUGGGCUUAUUCCUAUUAGUUUAUUUCCUACUCAUUAGUUUAUUUCCCGCUUAUGAGUCGCCAAGCAACUACUAAUGUUCUGUAGUUUUUGUUGAAGCCUUAUUCCCAUGGUGGAUUCUGCUACUAAUGAGUUGAAGCCUUUUACUGCCGAUGUUACUCAUGAGUUGAAUCAAACAAGCAAAUAGAAGACUCAAGCUCAUAAGCAAGAUGCGAGAUCGGGCUUAGAGUUGAGCUAUAAAGAGUGAAAUACAAGAGUGCCAGACCUGAACUAAAGACUUGAGGGCAGUAGCUUCAGAGUGAGAGUUGGGGCGGACCAAAAGGGUGAAUUCUUGAAGCUUUCUUUAAGUAAGGUUCGAUUCUUUGACUUGUUAAGUGCAUUCUGGCUUACUACGCCCAGAGUUACUACUUGGAUUCUGACUUGAUGGUUGUUGUCCUCUGCUUCUUAACGAUAUUCUGUAUUUCGAGUGUUCUUCUGUUUAGUGCUAGUUUCAUUCAGAGAACUCUCUUCACUUCUGCAAUGCCUAGUUCCGGGUGUAAGUCCUAUCGGCACAGGUUUGAUUCUUGUUAUUAGUGCUUGGAUUCCGAGUUGUGAGUUACAGUUUCAUAAAAUCGGUAUAGUUGUUCCUAGUUGGUGUCUAAAGCCUGAUUUCCUUGGUUCAAUCCCUGGGACCUUCCACGACCCGACCGGAGACUCAGUGGUUGCACCGCUAAAUGAUAUCUUAGAAAAUCCAAGAAUGACUGCUUUCACUCAAAAGUCCAAAUCAAAGAACGAAGCUAGAAGAACUAAGCUACAAGCAGGGGGCUUCAACUCAAAAGAGAGAAUGGAACUAGUACUGAUAAGACCUUAAUGGGCUGCUAACAGGACUUGAGGCACUACCGGAAAGAGUGUAGCUACUGCUGAUGAGAACUCAACAAGUACGGGCAAGGCUGCUAUCACUGUUAACAAGACUCUAUCUCUUGUGGGUAAUUGGGCGGUUUAGCUAAUCCUACAAUAAAGAAUGAAGUGAACAAUCCAAAGAGUAUAACUGGUGCCUAAUAGACUAUCCAAGGUGCUUCUCAUACUUUUGACUCCUAAUAGCAGAAUCCGAUUACUGCCUAUUAGCCUGUUACUCGUUCUUUCACUCGUGGAUGAUGAGCUAUAAGACUCAGAAUGGAAUGGAACCUAACAUAGAAAUAAGUAACAAAAGGGUAGGUAGGGAGAAAUAAGUAACAAAGGGUAGGUACAUAGAAAUAAGUAACAAAAGGGUAGGUAGGGACACUCCACAGCUUGAAAUGGGAGUAGCGGAACUACAUUCUUUGGACCCCUACAAUACAAGGGAAAGCGUCAACGCUAACUCGCAUUAUUAUCUUAACUGUUACCCUUUGCUUCCCGCAACACCAGCACCCGAGCGGAACCUGCACUCUAAUAGCUGCUUCCUUUCUCACUGCUUCAGAUCUUAGAACGUAACUUCCCGCUUCAAAGCAAGUACCCGCUCUUUCGUCUUCUACUACUCUAGGAUAUAGCAUAGCUUAUGCCUCUGAUCUAUAAGAUGAUGAUCCAGUCUCCGCUCUCGUCGACAACACUAGAACAGAAAAGAAAGCAGCUAAUAGGACCACUCAAUACUAAUCCUAUGCCAAUCACUAUUGAUAUACGUAGUUGAGUACUUUAGUUCACCUCUUUAAACCUACCUCUCCCCGGUUUGACUCUUACUUGACUGUCCUGUCGGUAUGAGCUCUAAGACUAAUCGAGUGAAAAGAGGUUAUGGGACUAAUAGGAAUAAUGGGAAGGUACCCCCACUAGGACAGAACACGCUCUCAACUGGGAAUCAAGUAAAGCAGUAAAAGAAUACAAAAUAGAAGUUGGAACUCAACUCAUUAGUAAAAGAAGGGGAACUUGGGUAUCUGAACCAAACUCGGUAUUCUGAUAUUUGUUAUAAUAUAGAUAUGCCUCUCAGGCUGUAGCUCACCUCUUGCACUCCGGGGCACAUACAAGCAGUAGACUAAUAAAUAAUAAAAGAAUAAUCUAAUAUAGAAUACAUAAUAAGCACCAUAAUGAGACUAUAUACCAUUAGCACUAAGUUAAGAUAUAGCUUCUACUAAACAAAUAUCAAUACAUAUCAAUACAAGUAAACUGAGUCAUUAUUCUAAAUGAAAAGAAGAAUAAGUAUUACCAUAAGCAACGCAGGCUUAUAUGAGGGAGUAGGGGAAUUCAAGUCAGCCAGGACAGGCUAGCACUAGCACAUAGGAUAGGCUCCGGGUGUCGGGUUCUUAUCUGAUAUCUCAUUCUUCCGCCUCUCAGUCACAAGCGAAAGUCUUAUCAGCAGCGACUCCCUGAUUAGCGUAGGAAUCAGAUUUGGAUGUGAGCACAGUUUGGACUACUUAUCUAGUAAAUGAAAACGAACAAGCAAGCCUUAAAGACAGGAUCGGUAGACUCAUAGAUUGGAUAUGGAUACUAAUACUAAUGGGUGAAAUACCUAGUUUAGGCAGGAAGUCCGAAUCAAAGCAAGGAUAAUAGUCAAAAUCCAAGUCAGUAGCUAAAGGCUAAGUUCACAGCUCUAGUUUUGGUUUGGUUAGCGCAUCGACCUUGCCCGUACCUGUGCAUUUCUUAUUGACAGCGUUUUCAGUCUAAUGGUUCACACCCUGUUCCAAGUGAAAGUAUUCGAACAGGCUUUCAACCUAUUACUUACUGGGAUAGUAGCAAGAACAAAGCUACCCGCUAUUAGAAUUGGGCUAGCGCCAACAAGCCUGUCCUUGCUUACUUUUAUACUGAUACGGAGACAAUACUUUGACUCACUAGCUCGGUUCUGACUUGACCAAACAAACCUAUCUCUCUGCUCUGCUCGGGGAAAGCAUGAAAUUAAUAUAAGAACACGGAACUCGGGCCAAGCAACUGCUAUGCUACUAUUAGAAUCAAGAUAGGAAUACAGAAAUGAACUACUACUAUGCCACUAUAGGAAUGAGCUACUAAAGUCAGACUAAUAGGUAGGUGGAAGCUAACCCUAUUGUAAUAGAAUAGAUAAGUGAUCAAACUAUUAUAAGAGAAUAGAUAAGUUACAAAACGAAACCAAUUCUAAUAUAAGUCAACUUCAUACCAAAUUGAAUAAUCAAUAAGUAAACUAAGAAUCAUAAUAAGGAGUAAGCGCCCUAAUAGUAGUACGGGGAUGAAAGUCAGGAUAAAGACCAUAAGAUCAGGAAAGGCAGGAGAAAUAUGACGCAGUCUUCCCAAUGAUGGUACCCAGACGGCACCCUUGAAAGAUAUUAUGGGAGGUCGGACGUGUAAAGUGAAGAUUGAUCAUCGGCAACUGACCGCUUUCACUCUAACAUCCUAUUUGCUUGCUUUCCCUCUCACAUCCUAUUUCAUGUGAUGUCUGCUAUGUUUGUCGACCUCUGCAACCGCUGUUGUCAUCGUCUCGAUUUGAUAUGGGGCUGAACGAAAGAAAGUAAGUACCAACUGGUCAACAUUGGUCAACAUUCGCGGUAGGUCAGAAAGCUAAUUGAGGGCAAAACACACACCUAUUAUUCUUUCUUCCCAGCCUAGAUAAUCAAACACUAACAAGGAAUCGAGCACGAAGAUAAAGGUUUGGUUCCUACUUGAAAAUGAAGGUGCUGAAAGCAUUACAAUUGUAACGCCUAGAAAGAAAAAGGGAAGUUUGUACUUUCAUAAGCCGUAGAAUGCCUCAUAUGAGAAAAAGCUUAAUUGAACUCCUGUGUUAUACCUGAAACCAUAGAGCUGCUUCGAGAGGAUAGGCGAGGUUGAAGUCACCAAGCAAGCGGUAAAGACCAUAUAGGAGUUUUAUGCUCACGGAAAGUAUUUAGUUGGCUGGUUCUUUGAUUUAUCCCUUGUGCUCUGUGGGAAUUGAAACCCAUCUUAGCUGUACUAGCCCCUGACCAGUGAAUGAGCCUACACAAAACUAUAUCUAUUCGAGUUAGUUCCACUUAUUAUAUGCAAUCUCGACUCUCCAGCUUAUGGUUGAGAUUUUGUCCUCGGGCGGAGUCCACAUGAGUUCAUUGAGGUGUCUACACAGGAAAGGAAGAAUAACAUCAUCAAUUAGGUAUAUUCCUAAGAAAGUUAGGAUUGCUCCACCUCAGUCGAACGAAAAGAAAAGGAGGUUAUCAGGGAGGUUAGCUUGCUUACAAUAAUAUACCGGUGAAUUGGAAGGGAAGCUAGACUUAAGCGAGGUAGAUACAGUUUUCCAGUUAGGCAAUUAAGCCUUGAAGAAAGCAAGUCAGAUUUGGAUUAAGCAAUGUUAGUUUCCGAGUUAGUGGUUAGGAUGCGUUAGAUCAUACCUUUCUUCUUGAUUCUAUGUUUUAUUAUUGAUCUUAUUAGUUAGCAUCCAGUAUGUUACCAAACCAGGACUACUGAGUUGAGUUCUGUGAUACCGAGAUAUGAUUCUCCAUCCUGUUCGUCCACCUUAGAUGCCCGUUCUGUUACUACUGGAUUGAGUUCUAAUCCCUUGUCUGGGUAACCAAUUCUGUCACUGCUGCCUGUGAACCUGUAUUCACUGACUUUUAUGCUUACUUAUUAGUUGACCUCCUGCCUUGCUUUCUUGCUUGGCGAGUUACUUGGCCCUAUGUGCGCCUUUAAGUAAUAUAUUCCCGAUUAAGAUUCUAUGC
This 34097-nucleotide long non-coding RNA is filed under the name Musa acuminata (dwarf banana). RNAcentral describes it as "long non-coding RNA (MACU_LNC008302)". Lineage: Eukaryota; Viridiplantae; Streptophyta; Magnoliopsida; Zingiberales; Musaceae. The record is from RNAcentral.